RNAcentral lists this ribosomal RNA (950 nucleotides) under uncultured archaeon. RNAcentral describes it as "bacterial SSU rRNA". It matches the Rfam family "Archaeal small subunit ribosomal RNA", at positions 7 to 944 of the family's 1478-position model. The record is from RNAcentral.
GUUGAUCCCGCCGGACCCGACUGCUAUUUGGGUGAGGAUAAGCCAUGCGAGUUGAAUGGGAAACCUAAAGUUCCCAUGGCAAACUGCUCAGUAACACAUGAUCAACUUACCCUAUAGAGAAAAAUAACCUCGGGAAACUGAGGAUAAUGUUUCAUAGUUGAAUUGGCUUGGAAAAGUUUUUCGACAAAAGGGGUAAAAAAAAUGGUUUUUAUCUGCUAUAGGAUAGGAUCGUGUUCGAUUAUGGUUGUUGGUGAGGUAAUGGCUCACCAAGCCGAUAAUCGAUAGGGGCCGUGAGAGCGGGAGCCCCGAGAUGGGUACUGAGACAACGACCCAGGCCUUACGAGGCGCAGCAGGCGCGAAACCUCCGCAAUACACGAAAGUGUGACGGGGUUACCCAAAGUGUUCAAUUUUGAACUGUGGUAGGUGAGUAAUGUUCCCUACUAGAAAGGAGAGGGCAAGGCUGGUGCCAGCCGCCGCGGUAAAACCAGCUCUUCAAGUGGUCGGGAUAAUUAUUGGGCUUAAAGUGUCCGUAGCCGGUUUAGUAAGUUCCUGGUAAAAUCGGGUAGCUUAACUAUCUAUAUGCUAGGAAUACCACUAUACUAGAGGGCGGGAGAGGUCUGAGGUACUGCAGGGGUAGGGGUGAAAUCUUAUAAUCCUUGUUGGACCACCAGUGGCGAAGGCGUCAGACUGGAACGCGCCUGACGGUGAGGGACGAAAGCCAGGGGAGCGAACCGGAUUAGAUACCCGGGUAGUCCUGGCCGUAAACGAUGCAUACUAUGUGAUGGCACGGCCAUGAGCCGUGUCAGUGCCGUAGGGAAACCGUUAAGUGUGCCGCCUGGGAAGUACGGUCGCAAGGCUAAAACUUAAAGGAAUUGGCGGGGGAGCACCACAAGGGGUGAAGCCUGCGGUUCAAUUGGAUUCAACGCCGGGAAUCACUAGUGCGGCCGCCU